RNAcentral lists this ribosomal RNA (798 nucleotides) under uncultured bacterium. RNAcentral's name for it is "bacterial SSU rRNA". It matches the Rfam family "Bacterial small subunit ribosomal RNA", at positions 607 to 1399 of the family's 1533-position model. The record is from RNAcentral.
GCGCCACCCCGCACCUACUUUUGUAACCUGUACAGCUAGAGUGCAGCAGGGGUGAGCGGCAAUUCCUUAGUGUAGCGUGAAAUGAGUAGAUAAUUAGUAGGAACACCGCUGGCGAAGACGCUCACUCGACUGUAACUGACGUUGAGGCUCGAAAGCAUGGGGGAGCAAACAGGAUUAGAUACCCUGGUAGACACGCCGUAAACGAUGAUUACUAGGUGUCGGGGGGGCCAAGGUCCUUCUGUGCCCGGCGCAAACGCAUUAAGUAAUCCACCUGGGGAGUACGUUCGCAAGAAUGAAACACAAAGGAAUUGACGGGGACCCGCACAAGCGGUGGAGCAUGUGGUUUAAUCUGAAGCAACGCGAAGAACCUUACCCGGCCUUGACAUCCCGAUGAAUGUGCAGUAAUGUGUACAGGACUUCGGUACAUCGGAGACAGGUGGUGCAUGGUUGUCGUCAGCUCGUGUCGUGAGAUGUUGGGUUAAGUCCCGCAACGAGCGCAACCCCUGCCCUCAGUGGCCAGCAGGUAAAGCUGGGAACUCUGAGGGGACUGCCCGGGAUAACCGGGAGGAAGGCGGGGAGGACGUCAAAUCAUCAUGCCCCUUAUGGCCGGGGGUACACACGUGCUACAAUGGCGGAAACAGAGGGAGGCAGCCCCGUGAGGGUGAGCGAACCCCAAAAAUACCGCCUCAGUUCGGAUUGUAGUUUGCAACCCGACUACAUGAAGCCGGAAUCGCUAGUAAUCGCGAAUCAGAAUGUCGCGGAGAAUACGUUCCCGGGUCUUGUACACACCGCCCGUCA